RNAcentral lists this ribosomal RNA (497 nucleotides) under uncultured bacterium. RNAcentral describes it as "partial 16S ribosomal RNA". It matches the Rfam family "Bacterial small subunit ribosomal RNA", at positions 28 to 507 of the family's 1533-position model. The record is from RNAcentral.
GAUGAACGCUGGCGGCGUGCCUAAUACAUGCAAGUCGAGCGAACAGACGAGGAGCUUGCUCCUCUGACGUUAGCGGCGGACGGGUGAGUAAAACGUGGAUAACCUACCUAUAAGACUGGGAUAACUUCGGGAAACCGGAGCUAAUACCGGAUAAUAUAUUGAACCGCAUGGUUCAAUAGUGAAAGACGGUUUUGCUGUCACUUAUAGAUGGAUCCGCGCCGCAUUAGCUAGUUGGUAAGGUAACGGCUUACCAAGGCAACGAUGCGUAGCCGACCUGAGAGGGUGAUCGGCCACACUGGAACUGAGACACGGUCCAGACUCCUACGGGAGGCAGCAGUAGGGAAUCUCCCGCAAUGGGCGAAAGCCUGACGGAGCAACGCCGCGUGAGUGAUGAAGGUCUUCGGAUCGUAAAACUCUGUUAUUAGGGAAGAACAAAUGUGUAAGUAACUAUGCACGUCUUGACGGUACCUAAUCAGAAAGCCACGGCUAACUACGUG